RNAcentral lists this small RNA (18 nucleotides) under Arabidopsis thaliana (thale cress). Its description in RNAcentral is "ATSL047430". Lineage: Eukaryota; Viridiplantae; Streptophyta; Magnoliopsida; Brassicales; Brassicaceae. The record is from RNAcentral.
UGUGUCUCCAUCUUCUGU